AUUGUACAGCGAAACUGCGAAUGGCUCAUUAAAUCAGUUAUCGUUUAUUUGAUGGUUCCUUACUACUCGGAUAACCGUGGUAAUUCUAGGGCUAAUACGUGCUGAAAGCCGCGACCCUCCGGGGGAGCGGUGCGUUUAUUAGACCAAAGACCAGCGCCCUUCGGGGCCGCCCGGUGAUUCAUGGUAACCUGACGGACCGCACGGCCUCCGCGCCGGCGGUGGAUCAUUCAAAUUUCUGCCCUAUCAACUUUCGACUUUAGUGCAGUGGACUAAAGUGGUUGCAACGGGUAACGGAGGGUUAGGGCUCGACCCCGGAGAAGGAGCCUGAGAAACGGCUACUACAUCCAAGGAAGGCAGCAGGCGCGCAAAUUACCCAAUCCCGACGCGGGGAGGUAGUGACGAUAAAUACCGAUGCAGGGCUCUUUCGGGUCUUGCAAUUGGAAUGAGUACAAUCUAAAUCCCUUAACGAGGAACAACUAGAGGGCCAGUCUGGUGCCAGCAGCCGCGGUAAUUCCAGCUCUAGUAGCGUAUAUUAAAGUUGUUGUGGUUAAAAAGCUCGUAGUUGAAGCUAGGCCCCGCGGCGCCGGUCCGCCUCACCGCGUGCACUGGCGUUUCCCGCGGGGCCCUCCCCGGGGGAACCGCAUGCCCUUCGCUGGGCGUGCGCGGAACCCGGACUUUUACUGUGAAAAAAUUAGAGUGUUCAAAGCAGGCGCGUUUUGCUCGGAUACAUUAGCAUGGAAUAAUGAAAUAGGACGCUGCGGCUCCAUUUUCGUUGGUUAUGGGACCGCCGUAAUGAUUGAUAGGGACAGUCGGGGGCGUCAGUAUUCGGCAGUCAGAGGUGAAAUUCUUGGACCUGCCGAAGACUAGCUACUGCGAAAGCAUUCGCCAAGGAUGUUUUCAUUAAUCAGGAACGAAAGUUAGGGGAUCGAAGACGAUCAGAUACCGUCGUAGUCUUAACCAUAAACUGUGCCGACUAGGGAUCGGGCGGUGCUUUUAGUGGCCCGCUCGGCACCUAUCGAGAAAUCAAAGUCUGUGGG
This 1037-nucleotide ribosomal RNA is filed under the name Sammeyersia grandispora. Its description in RNAcentral is "bacterial SSU rRNA". It matches the Rfam family "Eukaryotic small subunit ribosomal RNA", at positions 73 to 1111 of the family's 1831-position model. The record is from RNAcentral. Lineage: Eukaryota; Fungi; Ascomycota; Sordariomycetes; Lulworthiales; Lulworthiaceae.